This 465-nucleotide ribosomal RNA is filed under the name Vreelandella stevensii. Its description in RNAcentral is "partial 16S ribosomal RNA". It matches the Rfam family "Bacterial small subunit ribosomal RNA", at positions 338 to 795 of the family's 1533-position model. Lineage: Bacteria; Pseudomonadati; Pseudomonadota; Gammaproteobacteria; Oceanospirillales; Halomonadaceae. The record is from RNAcentral.
CCUACGGGAUGCAGCAGUGGGGAAUAUUGGACAAUGGGCGAAAGCCUGAUCCAGCCAUGCCGCGUGUGUGAAGAAGGCCUUCGGGUUGUAAAGCACUUUCAGUGGGGAAGAAAGCCUGUGGGCUAAUACCCUCGAGGAAGGACAUCACCCACAGAAGAAGCACCGGCUAACUCCGUGCCAGCAGCCGCGGUAAUACGGAGGGUGCGAGCGUGAAUCGGAAUUACUGGGCGUAAAGCGCGCGUAGGCGGUCUGAUAAGCCGGUUGUGAAAGCCCCGGGCUCAACCUGGGAACGGCAUCCGGAACUGUCAGGCUAGAGUGCAGGAGAGGAAGGUAGAAUUCCCGGUGUAGCGGUGAAAUGCGUAGAGAUCGGGAGGAAUACCAGUGGCGAAGGCGGCCUUCUGGACUGACACUGACGCUGAGGUGCGAAAGCGUGGGUAGCAAACAGGAUUAGAUACCCCAGUAGUC